RNAcentral lists this ribosomal RNA (1731 nucleotides) under human gut metagenome. RNAcentral's name for it is "bacterial LSU rRNA". It matches the Rfam family "Bacterial large subunit ribosomal RNA", at positions 1 to 1888 of the family's 2925-position model. The record is from RNAcentral.
CAAGCGAUAGGUAAGGGCAUCUGGUGAAUGCCUUGGCAAUCAGAGGCGAAGAAGGACGUGAUACACUGCGAAAAGCCGUGGGGAGCUGUGAAUAGGCAUUGAUCCGCGGAUCUCCGAAUGGGGAAACCCACAGAGUAAUCUGUAUCAAUAUCUGAAUCUAUAGGGUAUUGAAGCGAACGCAGGGAACUGAAACAUCUAAGUACCUGUAGGAAAGGAAAUCAACCGAGACUCCGAGAGUAGUGGCGAGCGAAAUCGGACCAGCCAAUUUGCGAUUAGAUAAGAACCGGAAGUGUCUGGGAAGGCACAUCAUAGAGGGUGAUAGUCCCGUACGGGUAGAAAGUUUAAUUGUAAGAGAGUAGGGCGGAGCACGAGAAAUUCUGUCUGAAGAUAGGUCGACCACGAUCUAAGGCUAAGUACUACUGAUUGACCGAUAGUGAACCAGUACCGUGAGGGAAAGGUGAAAAGCACCCCGACAAGGGGAGUGAAAGAGAACCUGAAACCGGAUGCCUACAAGCAGUCGGAGGGGCAUUAAGCCCUGACGGCGUACCUUUUGUAUAAUGGGUCAGCGAGUUAGUUUAUGUAGCAAGCAUAAGCCGAUAGGUGGAUGCGUAGCGAAAGCGAGUGUUAAUAGCGCGUUAAGUUACAUGAAUUAGACCCGAAACCGAGUGAUCUAGCCAUGAACAGGUUGAAGGUUGGGUAACACCAACUGGAGGACCGAACCCACUCCCGUUGAAAAGGUAGGGGAUGAUUUGUGGCUAGGGGUGAAAGGCCAAUCAAACUCGGAAAUAGCUGGUUCUCCGCGAAAACUAUUUAGGUAGUGCGGUAGGCGAACACCAUGAGGGGUAGAGCACUGAAAGAGCUAAGGGGGAGCGAUCCUUACUAAACUUUAUCAAACUCCGAAUACUCAUGAGUGAUACUUACCAGACAGACAGUAGGUGCUAAGGUCUAUUGUCGAGAGGGAAAGAGCCCAGACCGUCAACUAAGGUCCCUAAAUUAUGGCUAAGUGGUAAAGGAAGUGGGAUAUCCAAAACAGUCAGGAGGUUGGCUUAGAAGCAGCCAUCCUUUAAAGAAAGCGUAAUAGCUCACUGAUCUAAAUAAGACGUCCUGCGCCGAAGAUGUAACGGGGCUAAAGCCAUAUACCGAAGUUACGGGAUUGUAUUGCAAUAGAUACAAUCGGUAGCGGAGCGUUCUGUAGGCCUGCGAAGGUAAACCGUAAGGUUUGCUGGAGGUAUCAGAAGUGAGAAUGCUGACAUGAGUAGCGAAAAGAAGAGUGAGAGACUCUUCCGCUGAAAGUCCAAGGUUUCCUGCGUAAAGCUAAUCUGCGCAGGGUUAGUCGGCCCCUAAGGCGAGGCAGAGAUGCGUAGCUGAUGGGAACACGGUUAAUAUUCCGUGACCAGUUAGGAAGUGACGGAUACAGUAGUUUGUACAUGCUUAAUGGAUUGUGUGUGCAAGUGAUGUGUCCCGGGAAAUAGCCCUAACGAAGACCGUACCCGAAACCGACACAGGUGGACAGGUAGAGUAUACCAAAGCGCUUGAGAGAACUAUGUUGAAGGAACUAGGCAAAAUGCUUGUGUAACUUCGGGAUAAGCAAGCCCGGUUUUAAGGCAACUUAAGGCCGGGGGCACAUACUAGGGGGUAGCGACUGUUUAACAAAAACACAGGACUCUGCGAAAUUGAAAGAUGAAGUAUAGGGUCUGUCUCUUAUACACAUCUCCGAGCCCACGAGACCGG